This 372-nucleotide ribosomal RNA is filed under the name uncultured organism. RNAcentral describes it as "partial 16S ribosomal RNA". It matches the Rfam family "Bacterial small subunit ribosomal RNA", at positions 527 to 896 of the family's 1533-position model. The record is from RNAcentral.
GUAGGUGGCAAGCGUUGACCGGAAUUAUUGGGCGUAAAGCGCGCGCAGGCGGUUCUUUAAGUCUGAUGUGAAAGCCCACGGCUCAACCGUGGAGGGUCAUUGGAAACUGGAGAACUUGAGUACAGAAGAGGAAAGCGGAAUUCCACGUGUAGCGGUGAAAUGCGUAGAGAUGUGGAGGAACACCAGUGGCGAAGGCGGCUUUCUGGCCUGUAACUGACGCUGAGGCGCGAAAGCGUGGGGAGCAAACAGGAUUAGAUACCCUGGUAGUCCACGCCGUAAACGAUGAGUGCUAAGUGUUAGGGGGUUUCCGCCCCCCUUAGUGCUGCAGCUAACGCAUUAAGCACUCCGCCUGGGAGUACGGCCGCAAGGCUG